GUUGCUGGUUCUCUAGAGAGCAUGUGCACGCCUUGUCAUCUUUAUAUCUCCACCUGUGCACCCUUUGUAGACCCUGGAUUUUUUUUCAUGGUCUAUGUUGCUUCUUCAUAUACCCCAAUGUAUGUUAAUAGAAUGUUUGUGCUUAUAAAAUCUAUACAACUUUCAGCAACGGAUCUCUUGGCUCUCGCAUCGAUGAAGAACGCAGCGAAAUGCGAUAAGUAAUGUGAAUUGCAGAAUUCAGUGAAUCAUCGAAUCUUUGAACGCACCUUGCGCUCCUUGGUAUUCCGAGGAGCAUGCCUGUUUGAGUGUCAUUAAUAUAUAUCAACCACUUCUUGUUGAGUGGCUUGGAUGUGGGGGGUUUGCUGGCCUCUUGAAGGGUCAGCUCCCCUGAAAUGCAUCAGCAGAACCAACCUGUUCAUUGGUGUGAUAACUAUCUACGCUAUUGAAAGGUGAAGGCAGUUCAGCUUC
This 468-nucleotide ribosomal RNA is filed under the name Cortinarius zinziberatus. RNAcentral describes it as "eukaryotic LSU rRNA". The stretch from base 158 to 311 matches the Rfam family "5.8S ribosomal RNA". The record is from RNAcentral. Lineage: Eukaryota; Fungi; Basidiomycota; Agaricomycetes; Agaricales; Cortinariaceae.